GCGGGGGUGCCCGAGCCAGGUCAAAGGGGCAGGGUUCAGGUCCCUGUGGCGUAAAUCCCAGCCCUGGCG
Molecule: transfer RNA, 69 nt
Filed under: Pyrobaculum oguniense TE7
Lineage: Archaea; Thermoproteati; Thermoproteota; Thermoprotei; Thermoproteales; Thermoproteaceae
Description: tRNA-Leu
Source: RNAcentral